GACGAACGCUGGCGGCGUGCCUAAUACAUGCAAGUCGAGCGAGUCUGCCUUGAAGAUCGGAGUGCUUGCACUCUGUGAAACAAGAUACAGGCUAGCGGCGGACGGGUGAGUAACACGUGGGUAACCUGCCCAAGAGAUCGGGAUAACACCUGGAAACAGAUGCUAAUACCGGAUAACAACAGAUGAUGCCUAUCAACUGUUUAAAAGAUGGUUCUGCUAUCACUCUUGGAUGGACCUGCGGUGCAUUAGCUAGUUGGUAGGGUAACGGCCUACCAAGGCGAUGAUGCAUAGCCGAGUUGAGAGACUGAUCGGCCACAUUGGGACUGAGACACGGUCCAAACUCCUACGGGAGGCAGCAGUAGGGAAUCUUCCACAAUGGACGCAAGUCUGAUGGAGCAACGCCGCGUGAGUGAAGAAGGGUUUCGGCUCGUAAAGCUCUGUUGUUGGUGAAGAAGGACAGGGGUAGUAACUGACCUUUGUUUGACGGUAAUCAAUUAGAAAGUCACGGCUAACUACGUG
RNAcentral lists this ribosomal RNA (519 nucleotides) under uncultured bacterium. RNAcentral's name for it is "partial 16S ribosomal RNA". It matches the Rfam family "Bacterial small subunit ribosomal RNA", at positions 28 to 507 of the family's 1533-position model. The record is from RNAcentral.